AGACCCGAAACCCGGUGAUCUAGCCAUGGGCAGGUUGAAGGUUGGGUAACACUAACUGGAGGACCGAACCGACUAAUGUUGAAAAAUUAGCGGAUGACCUGUGGCUGGGGGUGAAAGGCCAAUCAAACCGGGAGAUAGCUGGUUCUCCCCGAAAGCUAUUUAGGUAGCGCCUCGUGAAUUCAUCUCCGGGGGUAGAGCACUGUUUCGGCUAGGGGGCCAUCCCGGCUUACCAACCCGAUGCAAACUGCGAAUACCGGAGAAUGUUAUCACGGGAGACACACGGCGGGUGCUAACGUCCGUCGUGAAGAGGGAAACAACCCAGACCGCCAGCUAAGGUCCCAAAGUCAUGGUUAAGUGGGAAACGAUGUGGGAAGGCCCAGACAGCCAGGAUGUUGGCUUAGAAGCAGCCAUCAUUUAAAGAAAGCGUAAUAGCUCACUGGUCGAGUCGGCCUGCGCGGAAGAUGUAACGGGGCUAAACCAUGCACCGAAGCUGCGGCAGCGACGCUUAUGCGUUGUUGGGUAGGGGAGCGUUCUGUAAGCCUGUGAAGGUGUGUCGUGAGGCAUGCUGGAGGUAUCAGAAGUGCGAAUGCUGACAUAAGUAACGAUAAAGCGGGUGAAAAGCCCGCUCGCCGGAAGACCAAGGGUUCCUGUCCAACGUUAAUCGGGGCAGGGUGAGUCGACCCCUAAGGCGAGGCCGAAAGGCGUAGUCGAUGGGAAACGGGUUAAUAUUCCCGUACUUGGUGUUACUGCGAAGGGGGGACGGAGAAGGCUAUGUUGGCCGGGCGACGGUUGUCCCGGUUUAAGCGUGUAGGUGUGUGUUCCAGGUAAAUCCGGUU
Molecule: ribosomal RNA, 836 nt
Filed under: Salmonella enterica
Lineage: Bacteria; Pseudomonadati; Pseudomonadota; Gammaproteobacteria; Enterobacterales; Enterobacteriaceae
Also listed under: 4 other names
Description: partial 23S ribosomal RNA
Rfam family: Bacterial large subunit ribosomal RNA
Source: RNAcentral